Molecule: non-coding RNA, 73 nt
Organism: Stegodyphus mimosarum
Lineage: Eukaryota; Metazoa; Arthropoda; Arachnida; Araneae; Eresidae
Source: Rfam
GCCUUCGUGGUGUAGUGGUCAGCCCGCUCAACUCGUAAACGAGAGGUCCGUAGUUCGAUUCCCGGCGAAGGCG